Molecule: non-coding RNA, 390 nt
Organism: Podarcis muralis (Common wall lizard)
Lineage: Eukaryota; Metazoa; Chordata; Lepidosauria; Squamata; Lacertidae
Source: RefSeq, a predicted model, not a curated record
UCUGCCCCCUCCACAGGAGGCUGGCACUAGUGACAAGUCACUGUUCUGGGCUUGCUUGUGCCAACCAGGAGGUGUGGUCAAAUAGGCAACUUCUGCAAAAAGACAGGAGAUGUGUUCAUCUGACUCAGGCACCUCACAAAGGAGAAAAAGAAAUAUAGAACAUCUGGAAACCUCUGAAAUUAAAAGGAAGCCCAAGUUUGUGUCUCCUUCCACCAGGCAAAGAGUUAUGAUCAUAGAUGCCUUCUUGAUUUGUUAUGCUGGAGUCAAUUGGGUCGUGCCUCUACAGCAGUGACCAAGGAAGAAUGACCCCUGGGAGGAGCACAAAAAGAAGAAAUGCAAUGGUACACCAACACAACUGGACACCUUCAUCUGCCCCAGCUGCAACAAAAC